CUCAUAGCAGGCAUGCUUGCUAUGUUUAUUUAGAUUUAUGCAACUGUGUCUGAAAACCCUGUCACUUAAUGAUUUUGUUGAAUUAAUCUGGUAGAGCUUUCACCGAAUAAUACACACUUUUUUGCAUCUCAACAAGCAUUCAGUUUUCUCAAGUUGUACAUUUUAUUUAACUCCUCCACUAAGACUCCACAGUUUCCUGGCAUCCUUCAUAUACCUUCUCUUUUGGUUAUCUCUUUUGCAGUGCACCAUGUAGAUAGAAGCAUCCACCAGACUUUGGGCUGAUUUGUUCAGUCAUUUCUCUUAGAUGAAUGCCUGUCACUUUGGGGUGAGAGUGUUUAUGUUCUUGUGGAGAACAGCCAAGAAUAUUGCAGAAAACACAAGCUCAGUGCUAAGCUCAAGAUGACUGAAUGUCUGAGGAAGGUGUACAAGUUAGCCAUGGACCUAAGCAAUCAAUGGGGACUCCAAGCAAUUUACAGCGCACACUAUGCUAAGCACCAUACUGGUUUACAGAAUGACAAGCAUCAACUUUUCACAGAAGAGUGCAAAUUUAUCUUGAUUUGCCUAACUCUGAAGUACUCAAUUACAAGGAAAGCUGCCAUUCUGCACCCUUGGCUGCAUCCUCAUGGACAGGUCUGUAUUGCUGGCUUUCUUCCACUUAAGUUUGUUGCUCUGCAAAGACUGUACUCUGUAGAUAUUACAGGAACCAAAAUAUCUAAUUACUUCAUGUGUGUCAUAUCUUUGUAGUCUGCAGGAAGAAGACAAAGCUACUUUUUUUUGGAUGCUAAUUAUAUACAUAUACACAGACAGAAACUGUCAAUAAAGCAUGAGGAAGAUGUAACA
Molecule: long non-coding RNA, 840 nt
Filed under: Coturnix japonica (Japanese quail)
Lineage: Eukaryota; Metazoa; Chordata; Aves; Galliformes; Phasianidae
Description: lncRNA (ENSCJPG00005000476.1)
Source: RNAcentral